This 215-nucleotide long non-coding RNA is filed under the name Elaeis guineensis (African oil palm). RNAcentral's name for it is "long non-coding RNA (EGUI_LNC045695)". The record is from RNAcentral. Lineage: Eukaryota; Viridiplantae; Streptophyta; Magnoliopsida; Arecales; Arecaceae.
CCAUGGAUCGAAGUACGAUCUGAGGGCGUGGGUGGCUCUCUGUCUUGAUCCGACAGUUCAGAGGUUAUCUGGCUUUGUUUAGGACUCCUAAUCCUUCUCUAAUCAAGUUUUUAACCCUUUAAAAGGGCCUGUGCGUGAAACAGAGGGGGUGGUGGUUCGGAUUUGCACCGUACGAAGCCCGUACGGAACCCAAGAGAAGAGAGAGGCGGAAGCAC